RNAcentral lists this unclassified non-coding RNA (217 nucleotides) under Ascomycota sp. Its description in RNAcentral is "partial contains small subunit ribosomal RNA, internal transcribed spacer 1, and 5.8S ribosomal RNA". The stretch from base 1 to 47 matches the Rfam family "Eukaryotic small subunit ribosomal RNA", at positions 1785 to 1831 of the family's 1831-position model. The record is from RNAcentral. Lineage: Eukaryota; Fungi; Ascomycota.
AAAGUCGUAACAAGGUCUCCGUUGGUGAACCAGCGGAGGGAUCAUUACCGAGUUAUUACUCCAAACCCUUUGUGAACCUUACCUUUUGUUGCUCGGCGUACCGCGGGCCGAAGCCACCCGCAGCGCGCCAGAGGACCCAACUCUUCAAUUUAUAGCGUACCUUCUGAUUUACAAAACAAACAAGUUAAAACUUUCAACAACGGAUCUCUUGGUUCUG